GGUGUGUGCAGGGGCAGAAUGUGCCAGAAUGCACCAGAAUGUGCUGGCUCUCACCUUGCCCAGCUGCCGCUGGUGAGUCGUGGGGGGAAUUGGGGGGCAACCUACUACUCUCCCUGAAUCACGUGAGCCGACAAAUCCCCCCCCCCUGCACUCUGGGGCCCCCACCAGAGCCCCAGUGUGCAGGUAAAGGGGCUUCUCUUAGACUCUCUCUCCUUCCAAAGAGAAAAACAAAGCACAAAGAGGGACCUGAAGUAUCUCCUUCUCGGAAGCCUGAUAAGGGACUGGAGUGGUGGCCAGAGCCGUGGAAUCCAACAAGAGGAACAUUACGUGCCAUGUGGCAUGGGGGGUAUUUCCAGAGGGUUCCAUCAGAGGGGCGGUGAGAAGCUCGGACUCGCCUCCAGGAAGGGGUCCUGGGGUCCCUCCACGGAACAGUCCAGACGUGAACGUACGUCAUCAAAGGGAAAGGGUCUGGGUUCAGGCCCCGGGGCCCCGUGAGUUUGGCUGCAAAAUAAAUUGCCCAGACGAGAGAUUUUCA
Molecule: long non-coding RNA, 535 nt
Filed under: Felis catus (domestic cat)
Lineage: Eukaryota; Metazoa; Chordata; Mammalia; Carnivora; Felidae
Description: lncRNA (ENSFCAG00000043633.2)
Source: RNAcentral